UGGUGCCAGCAGCCGCGGUAAUUCCAGCUCCAAUAGCGUAUAUUAAAGUUGUUGCAGUUAAAAAGCUCGUAGUUGAAUUUCGGGGUUAGUAGGUUGGUCAUGCCUCUGGUAUGUACUGGUCUCACUGAUUCCUCCUUCCUGAUGAACCGUAAUGCCAUUAAUUUGGUGUUGCGGGGAAUUUGGACUGUUACUUUGAAAAAAUUAGAGUGUUUAAAGCAAGCUAACGCUUGAAUACAUUAGCAUGGAAUAAUGAAAUAGGACGUUCGAUCCUAUUUUGUUGGUUUCUAGGAUUGACGUAAUGAUUAAUAGGGAUAGUUGGGGGCAUUAGUAUUCAAUUGUCAGAGGUGAAAUUCUUGGAUUUAUUGAAGACUAACUACUGCGAAAGCAUUUGCCAAGGAUGUUUUCAUUAAUCAAGAACGAAAGUUAGGGGAUCGAAGACGAUCAGAUACCGUCGUAGUCUUAACCAUAAACUAUGCCGACUAGGGA
RNAcentral lists this ribosomal RNA (486 nucleotides) under uncultured Glomeromycotina. RNAcentral's name for it is "SSU rRNA". It matches the Rfam family "Eukaryotic small subunit ribosomal RNA", at positions 562 to 1052 of the family's 1831-position model. Lineage: Eukaryota; Fungi; Glomeromycota. RNAcentral also lists the same sequence under 1 other name. The record is from RNAcentral.